RNAcentral lists this ribosomal RNA (559 nucleotides) under Exserohilum turcicum. RNAcentral's name for it is "eukaryotic LSU rRNA". The stretch from base 171 to 324 matches the Rfam family "5.8S ribosomal RNA". Lineage: Eukaryota; Fungi; Ascomycota; Dothideomycetes; Pleosporales; Pleosporaceae. The record is from RNAcentral.
CGACAGCUCAGAUGAGGUAGGGUACUGGCAACAGUGCUCUGCUGAAAUAUUUUCACCCAUGUCUUUUGCGCACUUUUUGUUUCCUGGGCGAGUUUGCUCGCCACCAGGACCCCCAUAUGAACCUUUUUUGUUUUUGCACUCAGCGUCAGUACAAUAAUUUAAUCUAUUAAAACUUUCAACAACGGAUCUCUUGGUUCUGGCAUCGAUGAAGAACGCAGCGAAAUGCGAUACGUAGUGUGAAUUGCAGAAUUCAGUGAAUCAUCGAACCUUUGAACGCACAUUGCGCCCUUUGGUAUUCCAAAGGGCAUGCCUGUUCGAGCGUCAUUUGUACCCUCAAGCUUUGCUUGGUGUUGGGCGUCUUAUUGUCUCUCCGUCUCGGGGAGACUCGCCUUAAAACAAUUGGCAGCCGGCCUACUGGUUUCGGAGCGCAGCACAAAUUUGCGCUUGCAAUCAGCCAAGGGCGGCAUCCAUGAAGCCUUUUUUCUCUCACAUUUUGACCUCGGAUCAGGUAGGGAUACCCGCUGAACUUAAGCAUAUCAAAAAGUCGGAGAAAAUAGUU